This 20-nucleotide unclassified non-coding RNA is filed under the name Chlamydomonas reinhardtii. Its description in RNAcentral is "small RNA Cre_1938". The record is from RNAcentral. Lineage: Eukaryota; Viridiplantae; Chlorophyta; Chlorophyceae; Chlamydomonadales; Chlamydomonadaceae.
GGGGGUGUUUCGGCUACGCG